GUAGUUGUGGCUGAGUGGUUAAGGCGAUGGAUUUGAAAUCCCUUGUGGGGGUCCCCCCCACGCAGGUUCAAAUCCUGUCAACUACA
This is a non-coding RNA of Chelonia mydas (Green sea turtle), 86 nucleotides long. Lineage: Eukaryota; Metazoa; Chordata; Testudines; Cheloniidae. The record is from Rfam.